Molecule: ribosomal RNA, 253 nt
Filed under: uncultured bacterium
Lineage: Bacteria
Description: partial 16S ribosomal RNA
Rfam family: Bacterial small subunit ribosomal RNA
Source: RNAcentral
UACGAAGGGAGCUAGCGUUGUUCGGAAUCACUGGGCGUAAAGCGCACGUAGGCGGAUUUGUAAGUCAGGGGUGAAAUCCCGGGGCUCAACCUCGGAACUGCCUUUGAUACUGCAAAUCUCGAGUCCGAUAGAGGUGGGUGGAAUUCCGAGUGUAGAGGUGAAAUUCGUAGAUAUUCGGAAGAACACCAGUGGCGAAGGCGGCUCACUGGACUGGUAUUGACGCUGAGGUGCGAAAGCGUGGGGAGCAAACAGG